CGACUCUGGUUUCUCUUCAUUACGCACAAGCCUUUCGCCUUUUACUAAAGACUCCGUGGAGAGGAACACUUACGAGUUCAACAUAUUUUUGGAAGGGCUUUGCUUCUGGCAGAGCC
RNAcentral lists this small nuclear RNA (116 nucleotides) under Salmo trutta (river trout). RNAcentral describes it as "U5 spliceosomal RNA (ENSSTUG00000028806.1)". It matches the Rfam family "U5 spliceosomal RNA". Rfam says of the family: U5 RNA is a component of both types of known spliceosome. The precise function of this molecule is unknown, though it is known that the 5' loop is required for splice site selection and p220 binding, and that both the 3' stem-loop and the Sm site are important for Sm protein binding and cap methylation. The record is from Rfam by way of RNAcentral. Lineage: Eukaryota; Metazoa; Chordata; Actinopteri; Salmoniformes; Salmonidae.